RNAcentral lists this ribosomal RNA (1146 nucleotides) under Muribaculaceae bacterium Isolate-013 (NCI). RNAcentral's name for it is "bacterial SSU rRNA". It matches the Rfam family "Bacterial small subunit ribosomal RNA", at positions 1 to 1129 of the family's 1533-position model. Lineage: Bacteria; Pseudomonadati; Bacteroidota; Bacteroidia; Bacteroidales; Muribaculaceae. The record is from RNAcentral.
AACAACGAAGAGUUUGAUCCUGGCUCAGGAUGAACGCUAGCGACAGGCUUAACACAUGCAAGUCGAGGGGCAGCGGGGGAGGAAGCUUGCUUUCUCCUGCCGGCGACCGGCGCACGGGUGAGUAACACGUAUGCAACCUGGCCGUUACAGGUGGAUAACCGGAAGAAAUUCCGACUAAUACAGCAUAACACUCCUGAGGGACAUCCCUCGGGGGUCAAAGGAGGCGACUCCGGUGACGGAUGGGCAUGCGGCGCAUUAGGUAGUUGGUAGGGUAACGGCCUACCAAGCCGACGAUGCGUAGGGGUUCUGAGAGGAAGGUCCCCCACAUUGGAACUGAGACACGGUCCAAACUCCUACGGGAGGCAGCAGUGAGGAAUAUUGGUCAAUGGCCGGAAGGCUGAACCAGCCAAGUCGCGUGAGGGAAUAAGGCCCUAUGGGUCGUAAACCUCUUUUGUCAGGGAGCAAAGGCGUCCACGUGUGGACGAAAGGAGAGUACCUGAAGAAAAAGCAUCGGCUAACUCCGUGCCAGCAGCCGCGGUAAUACGGAGGAUGCGAGCGUUAUCCGGAUUUAUUGGGUUUAAAGGGUGCGUAGGCGGAGUGUCAAGUCAGCGGUAAAAUUUCGGGGCUCAACCCCGUUGUGCCGUUGAAACUGACACCCUUGAGUGAGUGAGAAGUAAGCGGAAUGCGUGGUGUAGCGGUGAAAUGCAUAGAUAUCACGCAGAACGCCGAUUGCGAAGGCAGCUUACCGGCGCUCAACUGACGCUGAGGCACGAAAGUGCGGGUAUCGAACAGGAUUAGAUACCCUGGUAGUCCGCACAGUAAACGAUGAAUGCUAGAUGUCCGGGGCGAAUGAGUCCUGGGUGUCACAGCGAAAGCGUUAAGCAUUCCACCUGGGGAGUACGCCGGCAACGGUGAAACUCAAAGGAAUUGACGGGGGCCCGCACAAGCGGAGGAACAUGUGGUUUAAUUCGAUGAUACGCGAGGAACCUUACCCGGGCUCAAACGCCUCAGGAAUCAUUUGUGAAAGCAGAUGAGUCUUCGGACCUGAGGCGAGGUGCUGCAUGGUUGUCGUCAGCUCGUGCCGUGAGGUGUCGGCUUAAGUGCCAUAACGAGCGCAACCCCCACCGACAGUUGCUAACUGGUCAG